This 449-nucleotide ribosomal RNA is filed under the name uncultured bacterium. RNAcentral describes it as "partial 16S ribosomal RNA". It matches the Rfam family "Bacterial small subunit ribosomal RNA", at positions 338 to 795 of the family's 1533-position model. The record is from RNAcentral.
CCUACGGGGGGCAGCAGUGGGGAAUAUUGGACAAUGGGGGAAACCCUGAUCCAGCAAUGCCGCGUGUGUGAAGAAGGCCUGCGGGUUGUAAAGCACUUUCGGUUGGGAAGAAAAGUUUGGCGCCAAUACCGCCGAACCUUGACGUUACUGACAGAAGAAGCACCGGCUAACUCUGUGCCGGCAGCCGCGGUCCUACAGAGGGUGCAAGUGUUCAUCGGAAGUACUGGGCGUAACAUGUGAGUCGGUGGUGAAAUCCCCGGGCUUAACCUGGGAACUGCAUUCGAUACUACAAGGCUAGAGUAUGGUAGAGGGAAGUGGAAUUUCCGGUGUAGCGGUGAAAUGCGUAGAUAUCGGAAGGAACACCAAUGGCGAAGGCAGCUUCCUGGACUAAUACUGACACUGAGGCACGAAAGCGUGGGUAGCAAACAGGAUUAGAUACCCUAGUAGUC